CACUGAAGGCUACAACUUUGAGUUUACCUCUCUUCGUCCCCGAGGCCAGGGGCAGUGAGGUAACUUAACAGGAGUCUGGAGUCAUGUAAAUGGAAGGGGCAGGAUUUGAGCAAGAUCAGUGUGGGCAGCCUCCCUCCAAGAGGCCGGCAGCUGUAGUGAAGUGCUUCUCAGGGCCUCACACCUCCCUUGGAGUGCCAUUUGUGGUUCUGUCACUAAAGAAAAAGGACCCCCUGAAAGUGAGAGGAGGAAGAGGUAGGAGACCGAUUAUCUCGUGGCUGAACCUUCUGUCAACGUUUUCGGAAAGAGCAGGGCGCCGUUCAUCCCCAGGAAGGUGGUGAGGCCAGCACAGUACAAGACACGACAGGAUGAACUUCUGGAGCUCUGGCAGAACCAGUCUCACAUUCCUGGGGUGGAGAACGGACACCAUCAUCCGUACCUCGCAGCGUCCUUGUGAAGGUAAAACGAGACUGCAUCUAUCAAGUGCCUGGCAAAGCAUCUAGGAUACAGUAGGUGCUUAAUAAAUAUCAGCGUAGCAGGAUGC
This is a long non-coding RNA of Lynx canadensis (Canada lynx), 541 nucleotides long. RefSeq lists it as uncharacterized. The transcript has 3 exons. Lineage: Eukaryota; Metazoa; Chordata; Mammalia; Carnivora; Felidae. The record is from RefSeq and is a predicted model, not a curated record.